AAAGUCGUAACAAGGUUUCCGUAGGUGAACCUGCGGAAGGAUCAUUAUCGAAAUCUGCCGGAAAAGCGUGGAGGCAGAGAAGACGAGCAGGCGAAGUUUGACGGAGGUUGUCGCUGGCCCCGCUCGGGGCAUGUGCACGCCGGUACGUCCUAGUCCCUGUUCUCUUUUCUUCUUUGCGUGGACUCGGUUUUUCAAACACACCUGUGCACCCGUUGUAGGCUUUCUCGAGAGGGAAAUGCCUAUGUCUUUCAUAAACUCUUUUGUAUGUCUAUAGAAUGUCUAUGUUUGACGUCGUCGUUCGUUCGGCGACGGUAAACGAAACUUUGAACAACUUUCAGCAAUGGAUCUCUUGGCUCUC
Molecule: unclassified non-coding RNA, 358 nt
Filed under: Basidiomycota sp.
Lineage: Eukaryota; Fungi; Basidiomycota
Description: partial contains small subunit ribosomal RNA, internal transcribed spacer 1, and 5.8S ribosomal RNA
Rfam family: Eukaryotic small subunit ribosomal RNA (bases 1-47)
Source: RNAcentral